This is a non-coding RNA of Cyanistes caeruleus (blue tit), 1854 nucleotides long. The record is from RefSeq and is a predicted model, not a curated record. Lineage: Eukaryota; Metazoa; Chordata; Aves; Passeriformes; Paridae.
GCAACCGAAGCACUGUAUUUCGUUUAUCUUAAGCUCUGCGUGUCUGUAAUUCACGACUUUGCUGCAUCCUCAGAUUUGCACAAGGGAGUGUUUCCUGUGAUACACAGUUUUCAGCCUUAUGCCAGAAAUUCCUUUUCCUAUCUCUUGCCUUACCCAUUGCCAGAGAUGUGUUUCCUCUUGGAGCAAAAAGAAAUGACACUGAGAUGGUUUUCCCAGUUUACCAGUGUGAAGAUAAACAGGGGACAUUCAACCUUCUCCUGGCAAAUGAACUUGGACACACAGACUUCACCCCCAGUUAAUAUAGCAGGAGCUGCAUGUGACAAGGUGCUGAAGCCAAACACAGUUUUUCAAAUGUCUCUGCAGAACAACUGGAACUGAUGUGGUUCCUACCACCUGACUGACAAGCCAUCACAGCCAUCGCAAUAAGUGGCCAGAAUCAGUUUUGGCUGCCUUGUGCUUCCUGAAAUCCCUCUGAAUUUCAGGUGAACAGAGGAGCCAAGCUGCAACAACUAACAGUCAGCAAAGGCAGGAGCAUUGGAAGCCUUCAGGAAAAGAUAUGCUGAAGUAGCAUUGCAUGCAAUAAAAUGUCCACAUAGGUACAUGUAAAACAUACUGCCCAUGGCAAGCCUUGCUUCAAAAAUUACUGUAUGAAAGUCAACCUACUAAACUGCAUUGUUCCACAGGUCUCUUCUUAAAAGCACACUACGGCUUUGCAUCACCUUGGUCACUGUAGAUCUUGGAGCAGAUAUUUUAAAUACCAUAAAGACAAUGGCAGUGUACCCUCCUGCUGUGAAACUCCCAUCAAGCUGGUCCAGGAUUCCAUUCCAGAAGAUGAUUUCACAACAUUGAAUUGAAUCAAAAUUUCUACUCACAGGUUUUUCAACAGAUUUCAAUGGGGGUGAAGGAAUCAGCAGAACUCUUUUGCUUCUGUUGUCACACCGAUGCUCUCUCAUUUUUGAAAAGGAGGGGAAAAAAACAACUAACUUGCAGCAAAUCCAUCCAUGACACAGUACAUGUGAACCCACUUUAGGCCCAGAAAUUCUGGAGCUGAUUUGGAAAACUCCACAGGUGCUCACUGACGGCUGGAGGGAACCAUUCAGUGCAUCUACACUACAUUGCUGCUUUGAUUGCUGCUCUGAAAGACAAGAAAGGAAAACUAGCGAAGUUAGAAGCCUGCAGUUCUACAGUGUGAGUGUUACAUGUAGCAUAAAAGAGGAGUAACAUCAAUCCAGCUCUCUGACACUGCUGAAUCACAGUCCUGUCAAAGUAUUCUGAUAACAAACUGGGCAAGGCUCAGCAUCAAAUUCAGUGGGAAGCUGCUCAUGCAAGCUGAAGUGACAGUGAUAGUGCUCAGACACUUGUGGAUGACCUUCACCACUUUCUGAUUUCUCUGAGAGGAGCUGGCUCCCACAUUGCACUGCCAGAUCCACCCCCACUCCCAUAUGUGAUCAUCUGUCCCUAUGGACAAGAAGAUUGACACAGCUUGUAGAGGCUAACUAUUAAUGUGCAGUAACACUUCUGGCUUCUAUACUGGGCAUGGGAAAGUCCGCACUGAGCAGACUGAUGUGUUGGAAAUGUGCCUAGCAAUACAGAAAACCUGAAUUUCUUGUUCGUUUUUUAUUCUACUCCAUUUUUCAGCAUUCUUGAUUUUCUGGCAAAUUUCUGUCUACUCUUAUGGCUUAUUUUUCCCAUAAAACUGGAGAAUUUAUAAAAAGUGUAAUAGUCAGGAACUAUACCUUGUCUGAUUUUCAAACGCAGUCAAUUUUCCUUACCAACAUCUCAAGACAAUGAAUAUGACAAUGGGAUUAAGGGAAAGGGGAUGGAGUGAAGAGAGAGGGAAAGAGAGAGGGAAAG